UUGGGCGUAAAGCGAGCGCAGGCGGUCUUUUAAGUCUAAUGUGAAAGCUUCGGCUCAACCGAAGAAGUGCAUUGGAAACUGGGAGACUUGAGUGCAGAAGAGGACAGUGGAACUCCAUGUGUAGCGGUGAAAUGCGUAGAUAUAUGGAAGAACACCAGUGGCGAAGGCGGCUGUCUGGUCUGCAACUGACGCUGAGGCUCGAAAGCAUGGGUAGCGAACAGGAUUAGAUACCCUGGUAGUCCAUGCCGUAAACGAUGAUUACUAAGUGUUGGAGGGUUUCCGCCCUUCAGUGCUGCAGCUAACGCAUUAAGUAAUCCGCCUGGGGAGUACGACCGCAAGGUUGAAACUCAAAAGAAUUGACGGGGGCCCGCACAAGCGGUGGAGCAUGUGGUUUAAUUCGAAGCUACGCGAAGAACCUUACCAGGUCUUGACAUCUUCUGACAGUCUAAGAGAUUAGAGGUUCCCUUCGGGGACAGAAUGACAGGUGGUGCAUGGUUGUCGUCAGCUCGUGUCGUGAGAUGUUGGGUUAAGUCCCGCAACGAGCGCAACCCUUAUUACUAGUUGCCAGCAUUAAGUUGGGCACUCUAGUGAGACUGCCGGUGACAAACCGGAGGAAGGUGGGGACGACGUCAAAUCAUCAUGCCCCUUAUGACCUGGGCUACACACGUGCUACAAUGGAUGGUACAACGAGUCGCGAGACCGCGAGGUUAAGCUAAUCUCUUAAAACCAUUCUCAGUUCGGACUGUAGGCUGCAACUCGCCUACACGAAGUCGGAAUCGCUAGUAAUCGCGGAUCAGCAUGCCGCGGUGAAUACGUUCCCGGGCCUUGUACACACCGCCCGUCACACCAUGAGAGUUUGUAACACCCAAAGCCGGUGGGGUAACCUUUUAGGAGCUAGCCGUCUAAGGUGGGACAGAUGAUUAGGGUGAAGUCGUAAC
RNAcentral lists this ribosomal RNA (938 nucleotides) under Pediococcus pentosaceus. RNAcentral's name for it is "bacterial SSU rRNA". It matches the Rfam family "Bacterial small subunit ribosomal RNA", at positions 554 to 1492 of the family's 1533-position model. Lineage: Bacteria; Bacillati; Bacillota; Bacilli; Lactobacillales; Lactobacillaceae. The record is from RNAcentral.